UUGGAGGGCAAGUCUGGUGCCAGCAGCCGCGGUAAUUCCAGCUCCAAUAGCGUAUAUUAAAGUUGUUGCAGUUAAAAAGCUCGUAGUUGAAUUUCGGGGUUAGUAGGUUGGUCAUGCCUCUGGUAUGUACUGGUCUCACUGAUUCCUCCUUCCUGAUGAUCCGUAAUGCCAUUUAUUUGGUGUUGCGGGGAAUUUGGACUGUUACUUUGAAAAAAUUAGAGUGUUUAAAGCAGGCUAACGCCUGAAUACAUUAGCAUGGAAUAAUGAAAUAGGACGUUCGAUCCUAUUUUGUUGGUUUCUAGGAUCGACGUAAUGAUUAAUAGGGAUAGUUGGGGGCAUUAGUAUUCAAUUGUCAGAGGUGAAAUUCUUGGAUUUAUUGAAGACUAACUACUGCGAAAGCAUUUGCCAAGGAUGUUUUCAUUAAUCAAGAACGAAAGUUAGGGGAUCGAAGACGAUCAGAUACCGUCGUAGUCUUAACCAUAAACUAUGCCGACUAGGGAUCGGAUGAUGUUAAUUUUUUAAUGACUCAUUCGGCGCCUUACGGGAAAC
Molecule: ribosomal RNA, 549 nt
Filed under: uncultured Glomeraceae
Lineage: Eukaryota; Fungi; Glomeromycota; Glomeromycetes; Glomerales; Glomeraceae
Description: SSU rRNA
Rfam family: Eukaryotic small subunit ribosomal RNA
Source: RNAcentral